CACACUACUCCAGGGCAAAAGGUGUGCUGAAAAUCUGCCUGGCUCCCCGAGCCAGUUAAUCACUGCCGCUCUCGAAUCACGGGGGAAUUAGUAGGUAUCCCAUGCCUAACACAUGAAGUGCAUGGGGGGAUAAAUGGGGAAUAUGGAAUUUCCGGGCUAGGCUAGAUCUCAUGGCUAGCCUAGGUGAUGGCGUUAGACAAGUAUAGCACUCUUGGUGGCAACAACAGUCUGUUCAAGAAAGACAGAUGAGAAGAGCAAAUUGGGUAAUAUCUCAAGCAGCUGAUAUGACUACCAUAGAAACCGACCAAAAGACGUCCAAAGAGGAAUGUGUAAUGUCGUCGCGAACUCAAAAGGUCGAAGUAAGGCUAUCAAUUCCAACUGAAUAGGACCAUGCUAAAACAAGAAAUGCCUUGCUGCUAUAAUACCACUCAGGUCAUAUUUCUUCGGAGCUUCUCAUAUCCACCAAUUUCUGCCAAUCCUUACACACACAUACGCGCUUCUUUGUUGUAUCGUUCAGGCUAUCCUAAGUUUCUGUCAGCGGC
Molecule: small RNA, 542 nt
Filed under: Histoplasma ohiense
Lineage: Eukaryota; Fungi; Ascomycota; Eurotiomycetes; Onygenales; Ajellomycetaceae
Description: hypothetical lncRNA
Source: RNAcentral